AUUGAACGCUGGCGGCAUGCUUUACACAUGCAAGUCGAACGGCAGCGGGGUAGUGCUUGCACUACUGCCGGCGAGUGGCGCACGGGUGAGUAAUAUAUCGGAACGUACCGAGUAAUGGGGGAUAACCAAUCGAAAGAUUGGCUAAUACCGCAUACGUCCUGAGGGAGAAAGCGGGGGAUCGCAAGACCUCGCGUUAUUCGAGCGGCCGAUAACUGAUUAGCUAGUUGGUGGGGUAAAGGCCUACCAAGGCGACGAUCAGUAGCGGGUCUGAGAGGACGAUCCGCCACACUGGGACUGAGACACGGCCCAGACUCCUACGGGAGGCAGCAGUGGGGAAUUUUGGACAAUGGGGGCAACCCUGAUCCAGCCAUGCCGCGUGUAUGAAGAAGGCCUUCGGGUUGUAAAGUACUUUUGUUAGGGAAGAAAAGGGAAGUGCUAAUACCACUUUUUGCUGACGGUACCUAAAGAAUAAGCACCGGCUAACUACGUG
This 490-nucleotide ribosomal RNA is filed under the name uncultured bacterium. RNAcentral describes it as "partial 16S ribosomal RNA". It matches the Rfam family "Bacterial small subunit ribosomal RNA", at positions 30 to 507 of the family's 1533-position model. The record is from RNAcentral.